GUCCACGCCGUAAACGAUGUCUACUAGUUGUCGGUUGUCUUGUACGACGGGUAACGCAGCUAACGCGAUAAGUAGACCGCCUGGGGAGUACGGCCGCAAGGUUAAAACUCAAAUGAAUUGACGGGGGCCCGCACAAGCGGUGGAGCAUGUGGUUUAAUUCGAAGCAACGCGAAGAACCUUACCUGGCCUUGACAUCCUGCGAAUCUCUUGGAGACAAGAGAGUGCCUUCGGGAACGCAGAGACAGGUGCUGCAUGGCG
RNAcentral lists this ribosomal RNA (258 nucleotides) under uncultured bacterium. Its description in RNAcentral is "partial 16S ribosomal RNA". It matches the Rfam family "Bacterial small subunit ribosomal RNA", at positions 793 to 1050 of the family's 1533-position model. The record is from RNAcentral.